RNAcentral lists this transfer RNA (72 nucleotides) under Marmota monax (woodchuck). Its description in RNAcentral is "tRNA.Thr". Lineage: Eukaryota; Metazoa; Chordata; Mammalia; Rodentia; Sciuridae. The record is from RNAcentral.
GGUUAUAGCUUAGUGGUAGAGCACUUACCUAGUAUGUGCAAGACUUCCUGGGUUCAAUCCCCAGCACUGCCA